RNAcentral lists this long non-coding RNA (785 nucleotides) under Gallus gallus (chicken). RNAcentral's name for it is "long non-coding RNA NONGGAT012114". Lineage: Eukaryota; Metazoa; Chordata; Aves; Galliformes; Phasianidae. The record is from RNAcentral.
GUGGGGGCUGCUGUGGGAGCUCCUCCUUUCCCCUGCCGUUACUCCCCCUGCCCUCCCUUAGGCACGGCUUGCUCUGCCUGCCCUGCCUGCAGCAACCUCGUGAUUGGGAUCGGAAGCAUUAUAACUUGGUGGCACGCUGGAGUUGUGUGGUCAGGCCCCUCUGCCUGUGUAUCCAGCUCUCAGCUCGCAAACACCCUCCAGUUCCUGAGGGGAGCUUCUGAGCGGGAGGGAGAGCAGCUUUUUUACACGGGCAGAGGGUGACGGGACGAGGAAGAACGCCUUUAAACUGAAAGUGGAGGUUUAGCUGAGGAGGAAACCGCUUUCCCGGAGGGCGGUGAGGCCCUGGCAUAGGCUGCCUGGAGAGGUGUGGGUGCUCCGUCCCUGGAGCGGCUCCAAGCCAGGCUGGGUGAUCCCUGAGCAGCCCCAGUGUGUUCCCAUCCCAUGGGUUCCCAUCCCCAAGAAGAGCUGUUGGAGUGAAUAAUGGCCAUCGGCUGUGGCUGAGCUGCUGUGACCUACCUGUGGUCGUGCUGAGGAAUGGCGUCCACCACUGCAAAGCUUCAGGGACCUUUCUGUGCCUUUCAGCAGGGCGCCUGGCAGCAGACAACAGCACUCAUUCGAACCGUGAGGAGGGAGUAGGCGUCUGUAAGGGAGCCAAUCCCGUGUUCUGGUGCCAUGGUGGAAGACAGGUUUCUUCACACCACUCCGCAAUGAGUGAACUUUUGCAAGCAAGGUAAUAAAUCAGCACCGUGCUGUAAGUUGUUUGCUCCACACCAGGCAUUGUGUUC